Molecule: ribosomal RNA, 253 nt
Filed under: uncultured bacterium
Lineage: Bacteria
Description: partial 16S ribosomal RNA
Rfam family: Bacterial small subunit ribosomal RNA
Source: RNAcentral
UACGAAGGGGGCGAGCGUUGUUCGGAAUUACUGGGCGUAAAGCGCGCGUAGGCGGUUUUGCAAGUCGGAUGUGAAAUCCCCGGGCUUAACCUGGGAACUGCAUUCGAGACUGCAUUGCUAGAGUAUGGGGGAGGGAAGUGGAAUUUCAGGUGUAGCGGUGAAAUGCGUAGAUAUCUGAAGGAACAUCAGUGGCGAAAGCGACUUCCUGGACCAAUACUGACGCUCAUGUGCGAAAGCGUGGGGAGCAAACAGG